UACGGAGGGUGCAAGCGUUAUCCGGAUUCACUGGGUUUAAAGGGUGCGUAGGUGGGCAGGUAAGUCAGUGGUGAAAUCUCCGGGCUCAACCCGGAAACUGCCAUUGAUACUAUCAGUCUUGAAUAUCGUGGAGGUAAGCGGAAUAUGUCAUGUAGCGGUGAAAUGCUUAGAUAUGACAUAGAACACCAAUUGCGAAGGCAGCUUACUGCCCGAAUAUUGACACUGAGGCACGAAAGCAUGGGGAGCGAACAGG
RNAcentral lists this ribosomal RNA (253 nucleotides) under uncultured bacterium. Its description in RNAcentral is "partial 16S ribosomal RNA". It matches the Rfam family "Bacterial small subunit ribosomal RNA", at positions 524 to 776 of the family's 1533-position model. The record is from RNAcentral.